This 382-nucleotide ribosomal RNA is filed under the name uncultured Mycobacterium sp. RNAcentral describes it as "bacterial SSU rRNA". It matches the Rfam family "Bacterial small subunit ribosomal RNA", at positions 524 to 902 of the family's 1533-position model. The record is from RNAcentral. Lineage: Bacteria; Bacillati; Actinomycetota; Actinomycetes; Mycobacteriales; Mycobacteriaceae.
UACGUAGGGUGCGAGCGUUGUCCGGAAUUACUGGGCGUAAAGAGCUCGUAGGUGGUUUGUCGCGUUGUUCGUGAAAUCUCACGGCUUAACUGUGAGCGUGCGGGCGAUACGGGCAGACUAGAGUACUGCAGGGGAGACUGGAAUUCCUGGUGUAGCGGUGGAAUGCGCAGAUAUCAGGAGGAACACCGGUGGCGAAGGCGGGUCUCUGGGCAGUAACUGACGCUGAGGAGCGAAAGCGUGGGGAGCGAACAGGAUUAGAUACCCUGGUAGUCCACGCCGUAAACGGUGGGUACUAGGUGUGGGUUUCCUUCCCUUGGGAUCCGUGCCGUAGCUAACGCAUUAAGUACCCCGCCUGGGGAGUACGGCCGCAAGGCUAACACUC